CCCGGGCUGUCUUUGGGGAGUAGCCACCCUUCGAUCCGCGAAAGGGACCUGCGUCAACAGACUUGUCCGCGCCACGCCAUGUGGCCGACAUGGCGUAGGUGACUCACCCGGUGUCUGCAUGGCACCGGUGAUUCAAGCGAGACCAAUGACUGCGCAAGCCUUUCGUGCCGGGAGGGUUGGCGCGGUCAAUGGUGUCCGUAUCCCGG
Molecule: small RNA, 206 nt
Filed under: Pseudorhodoferax sp.
Lineage: Bacteria; Pseudomonadati; Pseudomonadota; Betaproteobacteria; Burkholderiales; Comamonadaceae
Description: Manganese sequence
Rfam family: Manganese Mn2+ riboswitch aptamer (yybP-ykoY)
About the family: This RNA was originally discovered in E. coli during a large scale screen and was named SraF. The family was later found to exist upstream of related families of protein genes in many bacteria, including the the yybP and ykoK genes in B. subtilis.
Source: RNAcentral